This 771-nucleotide ribosomal RNA is filed under the name uncultured bacterium. Its description in RNAcentral is "bacterial SSU rRNA". It matches the Rfam family "Bacterial small subunit ribosomal RNA", at positions 8 to 796 of the family's 1533-position model. The record is from RNAcentral.
AGAGUUUGAUCCUGGCUCAGGACGAACGCUGGCGGCGUGCUUAACACAUGCAAGUCGAACGGAAAGGCCCUUCGGGGUACUCGAGUGGCGAACGGGUGAGUAACACGUGGGUGAUCUGCCCUGCACUUUGGGAUAAGCCUGGGAAACUGGGUCUAAUACCGAAUAUGACCAUGCACUUCCUGGUGUGUGGUGGAAAGCUUUUGCGGUGUGGGAUGGGCCCGCGGCCUAUCAGCUUGUUGGUGGGGUAAUGGCCUACCAAGGCGACGACGGGUAGCCGGCCUGAGAGGGUGACCGGCCACACUGGGACUGAGAUACGGCCCAGACUCCUACGGGAGGCAGCAGUGGGGAAUAUUGCACAAUGGGCGCAAGCCUGAUGCAGCGACGCCGCGUGAGGGAUGACGGCCUUCGGGUUGUAAACCUCUUUCAGCACAGACGAAGCGCAAGUGACGGUAUGUGCAGAAGAAGGACCGGCCAACUACGUGCCAGCAGCCGCGGUGAUACGUAGGGUCCGAGCGUUGUCCGGAAUUACUGGGCGUAAAGAGCUCGUAGGUGGUUUGUCGCGUUGUUCGUGAAAACUCACAGCUUAACUGUGGGCGUGCGGGCGAUACGGGCAGACUUGAGUACUGCAGGGGAGACUGGAAUUCCUGGUGUAGCGGUGGAAUGCGCAGAUAUCAGGAGGAACACCGGUGGCGAAGGCGGGUCUCUGGGCAGUAACUGACGCUGAGGAGCGAAAGCGUGGGGAGCGAACAGGAUUAGAUACCCUGGUAGUCC